Molecule: ribosomal RNA, 1017 nt
Filed under: uncultured organism
Description: bacterial SSU rRNA
Rfam family: Bacterial small subunit ribosomal RNA
Source: RNAcentral
UGAGGAAUAUUGGUCAAUGGACGAGAGUCUGAACCAGCCAAGUAGCGUGAAGGAUGACUGCCCUAUGGGUUGUAAACUUCUUUUAUAUGGGAAUAAAGUGAGCCACGUGUGGCUUUUUGUAUGUACCAUACGAAUAAGGAUCGGCUAACUCCGUGCCAGCAGCCGCGGUAAUACGGAGGAUCCGAGCGUUAUCCGGAUUUAUUGGGUUUAAAGGGAGCGUAGGCGGACUAUUAAGUCAGCUGUGAAAGUUUGCGGCUCAACCGUAAAAUUGCAGUUGAUACUGGUCGUCUUGAGUGCAGUAGAGGUAGGCGGAAUUCGUGGUGUAGCGGUGAAAUGCUUAGAUAUCACGAAGAACUCCGAUUGCGAAGGCAGCUUACUGGACUGUAACUGACGCUGAUGCUCGAAAGUGUGGGUAUCAAACAGGAUUAGAUACCCUGGUAGUCCACACAGUAAACGAUGAAUACUCGCUGUUUGCGAUAUACGGCAAGCGGCCAAGCGAAAGCAUUAAGUAUUCCACCUGGGGAGUACGCCGGCAACGGUGAAACUCAAAGGAAUUGACGGGGGCCCGCACAAGCGGAGGAACAUGUGGUUUAAUUCGAUGAUACGCGAGGAACCUUACCCGGGCUUAAAUUGCAAAUGAAUAUAGUGGAAACAUUAUAGCCGCAAGGCAUUUGUGAAGGUGCUGCAUGGUUGUCGUCAGCUCGUGCCGUGAGGUGUCGGCUUAAGUGCCAUAACGAGCGCAACCCUUAUCUUUAGUUACUAACAGGUUAUGCUGAGGACUCUAGAGAGACUGCCGUCGUAAGAUGUGAGGAAGGUGGGGAUGACGUCAAAUCAGCACGGCCCUUACGUCCGGGGCUACACACGUGUUACAAUGGGGGGUACAGAAGGCAGCUACACAGCGAUGUGAUGCUAAUCCCAAAAGCCUCUCUCAGUUCGGAUUGGAGUCUGCAACCCGACUCCAUGAAGCUGGAUUCGCUAGUAAUCGCGCAUCAGCCACGGCGCGGUGAAUACGUUCCC